UUUUGAAUGUCUUACAUAAGAAUCGCGUCUUACAUUUCAAUAUAUAAGAUGAAUUUUAGCUGGUAUUUACCGGCGAGACGUUUAUACCAUUGUUCAUGUGGUCUUUGAGGUUAAUGCCAAAUUCCAAGAUUACGUGUUUACGCUGCAGGGCAACAAUACUAAAUUCAUAAUUGCAGAAGAACAUUCCGAUAGUUCACUGGUAGAAAGAUUCAUAUGUGAAAUGCGGUUAGUCACGGAAAAUGUUAUAGUUGCCUUGGUAACAAUAAUGACAUUAAAGAUUUUAUUUCGAUUUUACCAAACACGGACAAAAA
Molecule: long non-coding RNA, 311 nt
Organism: Xenia sp. Carnegie-2017
Lineage: Eukaryota; Metazoa; Cnidaria; Anthozoa; Malacalcyonacea; Xeniidae
Exons: 2
Source: RefSeq, a predicted model, not a curated record